This 440-nucleotide long non-coding RNA is filed under the name Struthio camelus australis. RNAcentral's name for it is "lncRNA (ENSSCUG00000003145.1)". The record is from RNAcentral. Lineage: Eukaryota; Metazoa; Chordata; Aves; Struthioniformes; Struthionidae.
GCAGUUUCAGCCUGGUCAAGCUUAACAAGAGAAGUUGCAAAUCCCCUACGGACUUCAGAUAUUCUUACAUUUGAAGGUCGACCUCAUCUGUUCCUGUGUGUGUCUAGAGACGUAACCCAAAAGCAAGGAUACGAUUUUUCUAAUUGCAGAUAUGCUCUCUCCAGACCUAGACUGAGGGCUUGUAGGAGCUUUCUUCUUUCCACGCCUGGAUUACAUGUGUUUACUUGGGCCUAGCUUCUGUUUUUUCCCACUAUGUUCUGCGCAGGACUAGUAUGUGGCAAGAUAGGGUGCCACAGUCUGUUUACAUAAGGUUCCCUAGCUCUCCUUUGCACUGACUCUGCUUGUAUUCCCCUCACAGUAUCUCUCAUACUCCAUUUCUCUUGGGUGACUGCAGUUCUCCUCAGAAUAAAAUUAAUUUUUUGAAUAUAUCUUCUUUAGGU